AAAUGCCCUCUCACGCGGCAGUGAAGAGAGAGUGUUGAUCCCUUCUCUUUGUGGAGGUGUGAAAACAGCUGCGGCACCUCCAGCCAAGCCUCUGGUUUCCUUUGGGGAGGUGGCCGUGUAUUUCAGAGAGGCAGAAUGGGCAUUACUGGAUCCAGACCAAAGAGCUCUCUACAAGAGCGUCAUGCUGGAGAACUUCAAGAGUGUGGCCUCUCUGGAAGCACAAGUAGAGGAGAUAGUUGGAGUAUUCCAGGGAUUCUGUGUGGAAAAAGCCAAGGAUCAAGAUUCAAAAGGAAAGUUGGAGGAUGGAGACAGGCCACAGAGUCAGGAGGAAAGCCAUGCAGACCAGAGAAGGGAGAAGCCCAUU
Molecule: long non-coding RNA, 364 nt
Organism: Sphaerodactylus townsendi
Lineage: Eukaryota; Metazoa; Chordata; Lepidosauria; Squamata; Sphaerodactylidae
Exons: 4
Source: RefSeq, a predicted model, not a curated record